UUCCUCAUCCAUACACGAGGC
This is a non-coding RNA of Caenorhabditis elegans, 21 nucleotides long. Lineage: Eukaryota; Metazoa; Nematoda; Chromadorea; Rhabditida; Rhabditidae. The record is from Ensembl.